ACUGGCAAAAGCAGAGCACGGUGGCACAGAGACAAAAUGAGCACACAGUGGCAUGGGAAGGAAGUACAAAUGCCUGAAAUUCUCAUUAUCACUGAAUACUUGGGGGCCACAAGAAAACUGAGUCAGUGCCUCAAUUAAGUUUUGACUUUACAAAUUCAGUGUAGUUUUGUCAACCAGAAACAUGAAAAAAACCCACAAUCUCUGGUCCACAAAAUCCACAAUGGCAAAACCUCUGCUAAGCUGUAAAAUAAAUGCAGUAUAUGGCAAGAGCCUGGAAAAGACCUAUUUGUUUCCUCCAGCUACAGCUGAUCAUUUACUAGAAACAGCUGUUAUAAAGACCACGGUGCACAGGUGUGAAAUAACUCCUCGAGGAAAGUCAAUUUCCUAAGCAGAGGAGGCACGAGUGGUCAUAGAAAAGGAAUAGUUUUGCAAAAUCUGACAUGGAGUUUGUGUAUAAAUCAGAUAGAGAACUAUGAUUCUGCUUGAAGAGAAACUCUAGCAUGGACAGGAGAGGGCUGAGCAGUUGUUAGCAGCUUUAGAAGAAAAUAUCUGAUCAGUCCCCCUGGCUUUUGUGGUGCUGUUCUUCAGUCUUUGGAAAGGAGACUUCACCAGUACAAGAGUAGAUUGGUAAUGUGGACAAGACAAUGAGGACAGCUCUGGAAGGCAUGCUGAUGUUUUGUUUCACAGUGAAGUACAAACUUUUUGCAAGAGACUACUAUAUUCCUAUCAGAGGUAUCAGAAGUCAAGUAACACCAGCAUCUCAAUCAAUCCCUGUAAUUCAUUCAUCAAACCAUGAACUAAGGGCUUCUGAGUGGGCAGAUCCUCCUUAGUCCUGUUGGCUGUGAUAUGCAGGUGGAAAACUCCAGCAAAAAGGUGAGGUUGGACAGGCGAGAAUGGUAGAACUUUGUAAAUUAUGCUAUUAUUUUGGCCAGGGCUCCAGCAAUGUGGACAGUGAAUACUGACUUAAUUAGUGGACCCACUCUAAACCAACCAGUGACGUCCCUAUACAAAGCCUGCACUCCAGCAGGGAGGGUAGUGUGUGUUACUGUAGAAAUGAAAGAUUUUGAGGAACUGGAGAGGAAGGCCUCCUGUACCUACAAAACCCACUAACAAACUCCUCCCCAUCAAAAGAUAUCAGACAGGAGCUCCUGAACUUGUUACUAGGGCUAAUUAAUAGAGAGGACUUCAGGCUGAAGGUUAUAUAACAAAUGUAGUUUACACCAACACAAUCCUUGAACAGUCAUAACCUGCUAUGCCUUGUGUACACCAAGUCAGAAUUCAACAUUAUUUUUCAUUUAUGCUUGAGUGGACUUCACACAAGUGCAUUAUUGGUGGAGAUCUAAGGGAUGAGUGGAGUUCAGAAGUUGUGCUAAGGACUGCGUGAAGGUGGAAGUGGUCAACACUGAUGGAACAAUACUCAGAGUUGAGAAGAUUUUCCCAUAGUGCAUGCCUCUCAUGGGUUACCAUAGAGAAAGAGGAUAAAAACAGAAUUGAAGAAAAGACAAUAAAGAGAGGGAAAUGGAAGUUAAGCCAGUGGGCAGAACACUGACAACCUUUUGCACAGAUGGGAGAUGCUGUUGCCACCAGCUCGAUGAAGAACUGUUAAAAGCAGCAAUGUUACAGAUCAGUAAGUACCUGUGGGCCUUGACGAGACUCUGAGGAAGGACAGCUGUAAAUUCUUAGGCUGUGCUGCCUCCCUCUUCCCGGCCACCUCCAGCCUCAGCUACCAGCCCAGGUGAUGGCACACUGUCUACAACAGAGGCACCUAGGCCUGGGCAGCCUUUAAUCAACUGCUUGUGAGGGAAAGCACAAGGCUCAGAACCCCUUCCUUGCAGGCCCAGAAGAGCCAUUUCAGCCUUGUAGUGAUUACUUGUGGUUUUUAAUUGCCUUGGAGCAACCUCCCGGGGACUGAGGUGAGGCACGUUCAUUUCUGCAGAGCUUGGCACCAGUUGUGACCACGGCAUGGACAGCAGGGCCUGAGCCCCCUCCUCUGUGAGGGCUGCCAGCCCUUCUCCCAGCACUCCGCCCCGGCGUGGCCACCACGGCCCAGCCCUGGCCGGCAUAAGGACGUGGGUCAGGGUGUGCCCUGGUGGCCAAGAAGGCUGAGGGCACCUUGGCCUGUAUCUGCAAUAGUGUGGCCAGCAGGACCAGGGCAUUUAUUUUCUCCCUCUGCUUGA
Molecule: long non-coding RNA, 2177 nt
Organism: Passer domesticus (house sparrow)
Lineage: Eukaryota; Metazoa; Chordata; Aves; Passeriformes; Passeridae
Exons: 3
Source: RefSeq, a predicted model, not a curated record